UACGAAGGGGGCUAGCGUUGCUCGGAAUGACUGGGCGUAAAGGGCGCGUAGGCGGUUCGUACAGUCAGACGUGAAAUUCCCGGGCUCAACCUGGGGACUGCGUUUGAUACGUACGGGCUUGAGUUCGGAAGAGGGUCGUGGAAUUCCCAGUGUAGAGGUGAAAUUCGUAGAUAUUGGGAAGAACACCGGUGGCGAAGGCGGCGACCUGGUCCGAUACUGACGCUGAUGCACGAAAGCGUGGGGAG
Molecule: ribosomal RNA, 245 nt
Filed under: uncultured Rhodopila sp.
Lineage: Bacteria; Pseudomonadati; Pseudomonadota; Alphaproteobacteria; Acetobacterales; Acetobacteraceae
Description: partial 16S ribosomal RNA
Rfam family: Bacterial small subunit ribosomal RNA
Source: RNAcentral